This 65-nucleotide small nucleolar RNA is filed under the name Euglena gracilis. Its description in RNAcentral is "Eg-m56.1". Lineage: Eukaryota; Euglenozoa; Euglenophyceae; Euglenales; Euglenaceae. The record is from RNAcentral.
GGGAUGACGACAAUGUUACUCUCAUGCGUUGCUGAGGCCCACUGAUGUGGUAUCACCAGCUGACC